This 329-nucleotide ribosomal RNA is filed under the name uncultured Clostridiaceae bacterium. Its description in RNAcentral is "bacterial SSU rRNA". It matches the Rfam family "Bacterial small subunit ribosomal RNA", at positions 28 to 339 of the family's 1533-position model. The record is from RNAcentral. Lineage: Bacteria; Bacillati; Bacillota; Clostridia; Eubacteriales; Clostridiaceae.
GAUGAACGCUGGCGGCGUGCCUAACACAUGCAAGUCGAGCGAGAUGCUGUUGAUUGAAACUUCGGUAGAUUGAUUCAGCGGACAGCGGCGGACGGGUGAGUAACGCGUAGGUAAGCUGCCCCUUGCAGGAGGAUAGCCUGGGGAAACCUGAAUUAAUACUCCAUAACGCGCCUGGGUCACAUGGCUCUGGGCGCCAAAGAUUUAUCGGCAAGGGAUGCACCUGCGUCUGAUUAGAUAGUUGGUGAGGUAACGGCCCACCGAGGCGACGAUGUCUAGGGGUUCUGAGAGGAAGGUCCCCCACACUGGAACUGAGACACGGUCCAGACUCC